Molecule: long non-coding RNA, 1333 nt
Organism: Cuculus canorus (common cuckoo)
Lineage: Eukaryota; Metazoa; Chordata; Aves; Cuculiformes; Cuculidae
Exons: 6
Source: RefSeq, a predicted model, not a curated record
GAUGCCAGAUUGUUUCUGUUGAUUGAGAACGCGUGUCCUUAAGCAGCAACUUCCUAAGGAAGAGACAUCAACAUUCAUAGAACACUGACUCAGCACUGCCCCGCACCUAGCAGGGUGAUGCAGCCGAACAGAAUUACCUGAAUGAUGUGGACUAAUCCAAUCAGAGAACCUUAAAUCUCCUCUCCAAGGGUUACAGACAGUCUUCAUUUUCUGUGUCUGUAGAAGAAUUAAUUGAGGUCUUUAUCAAACAUUUUACAAAAGAAAUCGGGACUAUUAUUUUUCCUAUAGAAAGAUGUUGCUGUCUGGAUUUCCUUUGGUAAGAAGUGGACUGAGAGAUUGAUUUCAUCAGUUUGGUACUGAGUGCUGGCACAGGAACUGAGGUGGUCCUGCACUAUCUGUAUUAUUGAAGCAUCUAUGAACUUUACCACAAUCAAGGGCCCAUUGUGCUUCAUGAAAGACCAUCUUUGCCUUGAAGAGUCUGCACUCCAAGCAAACAAGAUGUAUAACCAUUGGAAGAAAGGAAGGGCAGAAGUUGAGGACAAGAGGGAGAGAAGACUUGAAAACUCAGUAAAAAUAAGCAGAUUGUGGAGUGGGAGUUUUUUUUGGAAAUGUGAUACUUCUUCGAGGGGGCACAAAGAAGCAGAUUGAAACAGCAUAAUUGCAACAUGUGCCUUUGGAAAAUAACAUGCAAUAACUGCAAGCCAGGGCAGAGCCACGAGAGAGCCAAGGUCAAGCUGCAUGAACAACCUGAACUGUGGCAUUUCCUGAGUUUUACAUAUCUGACUUUACUGCCUGAACUUUUUGUCUUCCUAGUUAUUUUCUAUUGCAUAUAUGAAACACAUUCAACGCUACUCGUUAGCAGUUGCUGUUUAAAAGGAAACGGAAUAAAGCCGUGUGGGCUAUACAUGCUUGUGUGGGGAAAAUAAUCACGGAGGAGGUCUUAAUAUUUCUUUAGCCUUUUGUUUUGAGGAACUGCAGAGUGAAAUAUUGCCCUCAGGACAGAAAAAAAAAAGCUGUUUUAGCGUUACAUGAAGAAAUUUCAGCCUUUAGCUGUAGGCAUUGCAUCAUAGUCCCAGUAACCCUCAAUCCCUAGAUGAUAUUUUACCACAUUUUCCCUCCACAGUCACUAUUUAUGUAUGGGCUGGGAGAGAGAGCAGUCAGUGUGGUGUGUUAUAUGUAUGUAGUGGUUUGUUUUGUGUGCACGUAGGGAACUUGAGGUUUUUUCCCUAACAAUUCAGGCAGCUUUAUUUUAAGUUCUCUGAACAUCUACAUGCAGAAAACUGCUUCAUAACAGCUGUAGAGAGAGUGGUGAAAGAAGAGGCUCUGAUAUCAA